RNAcentral lists this ribosomal RNA (433 nucleotides) under Salmonella enterica. RNAcentral's name for it is "bacterial SSU rRNA". It matches the Rfam family "Bacterial small subunit ribosomal RNA", at positions 1110 to 1533 of the family's 1533-position model. Lineage: Bacteria; Pseudomonadati; Pseudomonadota; Gammaproteobacteria; Enterobacterales; Enterobacteriaceae. The record is from RNAcentral.
CUUUGUUGCCAGCGGUCCGGCCGGGAACUCAAAGGAGACUGCCAGUGAUAAACUGGAGGAAGGUGGGGAUGACGUCAAGUCAUCAUGGCCCUUACGACCAGGGCUACACACGUGCUACAAUGGCGCAUACAAAGAGAAGCGACCUCGCGAGAGCAAGCGGACCUCAUAAAGUGCGUCGUAGUCCGGAUUGGAGUCUGCAACUCGACUCCAUGAAGUCGGAAUCGCUAGUAAUCGUGGAUCAGAAUGCCACGGUGAAUACGUUCCCGGGCCUUGUACACACCGCCCGUCACACCAUGGGAGUGGGUUGCAAAAGAAGUAGGUAGCUUAACCUCCGGGAGGGCGCUUACCACUUUGUGAUUCAUGACUGGGGUGAAGUCGUAACAAGGUAACCGUAGGGGAACCUGCGGUUGGAUCACCUCCUUACCUGAAAGAA